AUUGCCAAAAAAAAAAGGAAAAGUGAGUUACCUUUGAAACAUCCGCCGAAUGAAAAAAAAAAUCAGAAAGGAAAGCCUCUCUAGAUCUAAAUCAACGAUUUCUUUCAUUGUUUCGUUCGACUCUUACCUCUCGUCGAUUCGAUUUCCAAAUCGCUUAUCCAUGCACAAUUUCAUCAGUUUGUAUAGAUACCAAAAAAUUCUUCAUCCAAAUUUUGUAGAUUAAUCUUCGGAGUCGAUACAGAGCCUUUGUAACAGAGAUUCAAGACAAUGAUAAGAUUCACUUUCAAAAUCAAAACAGUAUGCUGGCUCAUUUUGUACUUUAUAAAGUAAAUAAUCAUUUGUUUGCUUUGUAAUUAAUCGCAGGUUGGUAAAAAUACACUUCACUGUAUCAUACUUUUAACAUGAAAAAUUCAUAGGUACUUUACUAUGUAGAUUAGCUUAUGUUCUUAAACAUGUGGAAUACACACAAUCAUUAAACCUUUAUGUCAUCUUUCCUUUAGAACUGAGAAUAAGACUAACGAAAAACAUCCUUUAGAAAAUAUAAUAGCCAUUAAAAAGAAACUUCCUCAGCCUUAUGUUGUCUUCUUGAUAGUCUUUUGUUUUGGAGCCUGUAAAUUAAAAUCAAGAAACAAAUUAUAAUAGUUUAAUAGAAUAUACGAAUAAGCCAAACCUUUAGUCUAGAUACUUACAUUGUUGUGACAUGACCAUUACAAUGCUUUUGGAUCUUGAAUCACGAUAGUUGUAAACAAAAAUAAAUAAGUACAGAUUGUAUAAGAAACAAAACAAUUGAUAGGAACUAAGCUUUUGGUUUUGCUUUUGUUACGAGCUGCCGUGAAAGAGAACUUAUUUAUAGUGUUAAUGAGAAAGUAGGGUGUUAUGUGAGCGCGUAGAAAUAAGCUUGGUGAGCAAGUAGGUAAUAUCUUUGGAAAUAUUACAAUUUCGGAAGGUGAGUAAAUUUUUGUUAGGAGCUUAUGAAAUAUGCUAGGAUAGAAUUAUGGUUUAUAAGAUAUUAUUGCGUGUUUUACGGUGUUUUAGUUAAUGCAAAAUCCAUGCAUUUUGAAAGGAAAGCUACAAAAUCAAUUAGUAUAAAUCGUUAAGAUAUUUUUGUUUCUAUAUCGGAAAAUAAUUGAAUGUUGUUUUAUUUGUUUUCAAAAGAAUCGAAUCUCAUUGGAAAGGAAACUUGUAAUCAAGUGGAUAUAAUGAAUAUAGGAAGAUGUUUAACGAAAUAAUAUUAUUAAAAUUAUUUAUAAAUUUAAUAAUAAAUGACAAUGACAUAUCUGUAAAUAUGUUAGAAGACCAAGCCUUUUUCACAAAACUGCUGUGAAAAUGUUAAUAUAGAUUCUUAAACAUAUCACAAAUAUGGAAUUUUUACUUAUAAUAUAUAUAAAUUUAUAAAUUUGUAUUAUGAAUGUUUUACGGAACAGAUUAUAAUAUUGUAAAUUUGUAUAUUAUUUAUAAUAUUUUUAAAAUCGUAUCAUAAAAAUGAUAUUUUCAAACCUUUCCUCGAUUUUCAAAACCUUGCAAGAGAGUACAUAUUUUUUUUCUGGUUAUGAAUUAAUUUAUAUAGUAAGGGGGAGAGGGGUUAUAGAAAGAAAAACUAAAGUUUACUAAAUUAGAAUGAACUGUGAGUUCGAUAUCAAUUAGUCUGAUUCAAUUAUGUAUUUUUAAAAAAUAUUAUAAAAAUUUAUAAAAAAGUUACUGUUAAUUAAGUUAUUAAUUUCUAUUAAAUACUAUUGUUAUGUAAAAUAAACUAAAAAUUGUGAUUUAAUUGCGAUGCCAAAUUGUUAUAUAUCUUUUGAUUAAAAUUUGAUUGAAAGUUAAUCAGACGAACCAAAUGUCAUUUUAUUACAGCCAUUUGGAUAGAAAUUAUCUAAAACUGUAAAACACUUUAAAAUCUUUCAGUUUUUAAUUAUGUAUCUAACUUUUUCUAGAAGAUUGACUUUCUGAAUAGAAGAAGAAGAAUGGUAAUAAUAACUAAAUUAUAGAGAAUAACUUACUCAUUGUUUCAUAUAUUUAAACUAAUUGACAAUUUAGUCAGCGUAGAUUGCGUUACCUUCAUAAUUGCGAUAUAUAUAUAUAUAUAUGUGUAUCUACAAUCAAAGAAAUUACAAAAUCAAUUCACAAAUCACCAAAAAAAACUUAACAAAAGAAAAAAAGUUUUUUCCAAAACAAAAAAAAAAUCUGACUUGAAGAUGAAGCUGGUGAUCCUAGUAUCUUUUUUGCUCCUUCUCCCGAUGUUUUCGUCAGGGGUCGUGGACACUUUGCUUCUUGACAACGUCAACCACGAGAAAAUGGUUAAGAAGGAGGUGGUUAUGAAUGGAAAAAGAAUCGAUCUUGAGAUAGACUACGCUGGUCCACAUCUAAGACCAUCUGAUCCAUCCGAUCCUCCGAAAAAACAAAUGAGGUUGUGACAAAGGAACCACCGGUGUAUAUCAAAGACGACUAUAAGGAUCCGGCUCCAAUUCCAGUUAUACGACGACCGGUGCCAUACUUACCUCGCCCUCCUCCUCCUCCUCCUCACCAUAAAUCAGUAGAGAACUAAUUUUAAUAAAACAAACUGUUGUCAUAAUGUCAUUAGAUUAGAUGACCAUCUAAUCCGCUUAAAAUUACAUAAAUUUUGAUUUUGAUUUAAAAUUAAAUCAUAAUCAAACUGUUGUCAUAAUGUCAUUCGCUUUCGAUUCAGGUAAUUCAAAAUUUGGAUUGGAUGUA
Camelina sativa (false flax) is the source of this 2709-nucleotide non-coding RNA. Lineage: Eukaryota; Viridiplantae; Streptophyta; Magnoliopsida; Brassicales; Brassicaceae. The record is from RefSeq and is a predicted model, not a curated record.